AACUUUCAACAACGGAUCUCUAGGCUCUCGCAUCGAUGAAGAACGCAGCGAAAUGCGAUAAGUAAUGUGAAUUGCAGAAUUCAGUGAAUCAUCGAAUCUUUGAACGCACCUUGCGCCCUUUGGUAUUCCGAAGGGCAUGCCUGUUUGAGUGUCAU
Molecule: ribosomal RNA, 155 nt
Filed under: Nielozyma melastomatis (nom. inval.)
Lineage: Eukaryota; Fungi; Basidiomycota; Tremellomycetes; Tremellales; Bulleribasidiaceae
Description: Nielozyma melastomae 5.8S rRNA
Rfam family: 5.8S ribosomal RNA
About the family: 5.8S ribosomal RNA (5.8S rRNA) is a component of the large subunit of the eukaryotic ribosome. It is transcribed by RNA polymerase I as part of the 45S precursor that also contains 18S and 28S rRNA.
Source: RNAcentral